Molecule: ribosomal RNA, 372 nt
Filed under: Triticum aestivum (bread wheat)
Lineage: Eukaryota; Viridiplantae; Streptophyta; Magnoliopsida; Poales; Poaceae
Description: partial small subunit ribosomal RNA
Source: RNAcentral
AUGGCCACAGAGCCUUUUGUGCUCUCAGGUUUGGCUAGAUUCCAAGUAUUUGGAUUUUUUGGGUCAAUGAUCUGGCUAGGUUGGCUAGGUUCCAAAGCUGGCCACUUCUCUGUGGCCUUUUGUGCUGCCUUGCUUGGACUCGAUGGGAGAGAGAUAAGGGUUGGGCUAGGUUCCAAAGAUGGCCACUUUUCUGUGGCCUUUUGUGAUGCCUUGCUUGGACUUGAUGGGAGAGGGAGAAGGGUUUUGCUAGGUUCCAAAUAUUGGGAUCUUUUGGAAGUUAAGGAGAGUUUCACUUCAUGUAGCUACUACACUAGGAGAAUUGUAUGCUUGCGCCGAGGAAAAUGUUAUGCCGACCGUGGACAAGUGCCCUGA